RNAcentral lists this ribosomal RNA (397 nucleotides) under uncultured bacterium. RNAcentral describes it as "partial 16S ribosomal RNA". It matches the Rfam family "Bacterial small subunit ribosomal RNA", at positions 523 to 918 of the family's 1533-position model. The record is from RNAcentral.
AUACGUAGGGGGCGAGCGUUGUCCGGAAUGAUUGGGCGUAAAGGGCGCGUAGGCGGCCCGGUAAGUCUGGAGUGAAAGUCCUGUUUUUAAGAUGGGAAUUGCUUUGGAUACUGUCGGGCUUGAGUGCAGGAGAGGUAAGUGGAAUUCCCAGUGUAGCGGUGAAAUGCGUAGAGAUUGGGAGGAACACCAGUGGCGAAGGCGACUUACUGGACUGUAACUGACGCUGAGGCGCGAAAGUGUGGGGAGCAAACAGGAUUAGAUACCCUGGUAGUCCACGCCGUAAACGAUGAGUGCUAAGUGUUGGAGGGUUUCCGCCCUUCAGUGCUGCAGCUAACGCAUUAAGCACUCCGCCUGGGGAGUACGACCGCAAGGUUGAAACUCAAAUGAAUUGACGGGG